Molecule: ribosomal RNA, 1488 nt
Filed under: uncultured Bordetella sp.
Lineage: Bacteria; Pseudomonadati; Pseudomonadota; Betaproteobacteria; Burkholderiales; Alcaligenaceae
Description: partial 16S-23S ribosomal RNA intergenic spacer
Rfam family: Bacterial small subunit ribosomal RNA
Source: RNAcentral
GGUUCGAUCUCAGUCAGGAUUGAACGCUGGCGGGAUGCUUUACAGCAUGCAAGUCGAACGUGGCAGCACGGACUUCGGUCUGUGGCGAGUGGCGAACGGGUGAGUAAAAUGUAUCGGAACGUGCCUGUGGGGAUAACUACGCGAAAGCGUAUUAAUACUGCAUAUUGCCCUUCGGGGGAAAGCGGGGGACCUUUCGGGCUCGCACUAUUAGAGCGCGGCCGAUAUCGGAUUAGCUAGUUGGUGGGGUAACGGCUCACCAAGAAGGCGACGAUCCGUAGUCGGUUUGAGAGGACGACCAGCCACACUGGGACUGGAGACAGGCCCAGACUCCUACGGGAGGCAGCAGUGGGGAAUUUUGGACAAUGGGGGAAACCUGAUCCAGCCAUCCCGCGUGUGCGAUGAAGGCCUUCGUUGUAAAGCACUGGCAGGAAGGAAACGGCACGGGAUAAUACCCGUGCAACUGACGGUACCUGCAGAAUAAGCACCGCCGAACGCUGCGCCAGCAGCCGCGGUAAUACGGGUGCAAGCAGCAAUCGGAAUUACUGGGCGUAAAAGCGUGCGCAGGCGGUUCGAAAGAAAGAUGUGAAAUCCCAGAGCUAACUUUGAACUGCAUUACAUUAACCACACGAGCUUAGAUGUCAGAGGGAGGUGGAAUUCCGCGUGUAGCAGUGAAAAUGCGCGUGGAUAUGCGGAGGAACACCGAUGGCGAAGGCAGCCUCCUGGGAUAACACUGACGCUCAUGCACGUAAAGCGUAAGAGCAAACAGGAUUAGAUACCCUGGUAGUCCACGCCCUAAACGAUGUCAACUAGCUGUUGGGGCCUUCGGGCCUGGUAGCGGUGUUAACGCUAGUGAAGUUGACCGCCUGGGGAGUACUGGGUCGCAGGAUUAAAACUCAAAGCGGAAUUGACGGGACCCGCACAAGCGGUGGAUGAUGCGGAUUAUUAAUUCGAUGCACCCGAAAACCUACCUACCCUUGACAUGUCUGGAAUCCCGAAGAGAUUUGGAGUGCUCGCAGAGAACCGGAAUGACAGGUGCUGCAUGGCUGUCGUCAGCUCGUGUCGUGAGAUGUUAAGUCCUGCAACGAGCGCAAACCUUUAGCCAUUGAAGCUACACGCCAAAGCGCACUCUAAUGAGACUGCCGGUGACAAACCGAGGAAGGUGGGGAUGACGUCAAGUCCUCAUGGCCCUUAGGUAGGGGCUUCACACGUCAUACAAUGGUUUGGACACGAGGUCGCCAACCCGGGCGAGGGGAGCCAAUCCCAGAAACCCGAUCGUAGUCCGGAUCGCAGUCUGCAACUCGACUGCGUGAAGCUCGGAAUCGCUAGUAAUCGCGGAUCAGCAUGUCGCGGUGAAUACGUUCCCGGGUCUUGUACACACCGCCCGUCACACCAUGGGAGUGGUUUACCAGAAGAGUUAGCUCAACCGUAAGGAGUGGCGAUUACCACGGGUAGGAUUCAUGACUGGGGUGGGAAGUCGUAACAAGGUAA